AGAGUUUGAUCCUGGCUCAGGACGAACGCUGGCGGCGUGCUUAACACAUGCAAGUCGAACGAUGAAGCCCUUCGGGGUGGAUUAGUGGCGAACGGGUGAGUAACACGUGGGCAAUCUGCCUUUCACUCUGGGACAAGCCCUGGAAACGGGGUCUAAUACCGGAUAACACUCUGUCCCGCAUGGGACGGGGUUAAAAGCUCCGGCGGUGAAGGAUGAGCCCGCGGCCUAUCAGCUUGUUGGUGGGGUAAUGGUCUACCAAGGCGACGACGGGUAGCCGGCCUGAGAGGGCGACCGGCCACACUGGGACUGAGACACGGCCCAGACUCCUACGGGAGGCAGCAGUGGGGAAUAUUGCACAAUGGGCGAAAGCCUGAUGCAGCGACGCCGCGUGAGGGAUGACGGCCUUCGGGUUGUAAACCUCUUUCAGCAGGGAAGAAGCGAAAGUGACGGUACCUGCAGAAGAAGCGCCGGCUAACUACGUGCCAGCAGCCGCGGUAAUACGUAGGGCGCAAGCGUUGUCCGGAAUUAUUGGGCGUAAAGAGCUCGUAGGCGGCUUGUCACGUCGGAUGUGAAAGCCCGGGGCUUAACCCCGGGUCUGCAUUCGAUACGGGCUAGCUAGAGUGUGGUAGGGGAGAUCGGAAUUCCUGGUGUAGCGGUGAAAUGCGCAGAUAUCAGGAGGAACACCGGUGGCGAAGGCGGAUCUCUGGGCCAUUACUGACGCUGAGGAGCGAAAGCGUGGGGGAGCGAACAGGAUUAGAUACCCUGGUAGUCCACGCCGUAAACGUUGGGAACUAGGUGUUGGCGACAUUCCACGUCGUCGGUGCCGCAGCUAACGCAUUAAGUUCCCCGCCUGGGGAGUACGGCCGCAAGGCUAAAGCUCAAAGGAAUUGACGGGGGCCCGCACAAGCAGCGGAGCAUGUGGCUUAAUUCGACGCAACGCGAAGAGCCUUACCAAGGCUUGACAUAUACCGGAAAGCAUCAGAGAUGGUGCCCCCCUUGUGGUCGGUAUACAGGUGGUGCAUGGCUGUCGUCAGCUCGUGUCGUGAGAUGUUGGGUUAAGUCCCGCAACGAGCGCAACCCUUGUUCUGUGUUGCCAGCAUGCCCUUCGGGGUGAUGGGGACUCACAGGAGACUGCCGGGGUCAACUCGGAGGAAGGUGGGGACGACGUCAAGUCAUCAUGCCCCUUAUGUCUUGGGCUGCACACGUGCUACAAUGGCCGGUACAAUGAGCUGCGAUGCCGCGAGGCGGAGCGAAUCUCAAAAAGCCGGUCUCAGUUCGGAUUGGGGUCUGCAACUCGACCCCAUGAAGUCGGAGUUGCUAGUAAUCGCAGAUCAGCAUUGCUGCGGUGAAUACGUUCCCGGGCCUUGUACACACCGCCCGUCACGUCACGAAAGUCGGUAACACCCGAAGCCGGUGGCCCAACCCCUUGUGGGAGGGAGCUGUCGAAGGUGGGACUGGCGAUUGGGACGAAGUCGUAACAAGGUAGCCGUA
Molecule: ribosomal RNA, 1491 nt
Filed under: Streptomyces sp. 3465
Lineage: Bacteria; Bacillati; Actinomycetota; Actinomycetes; Kitasatosporales; Streptomycetaceae
Description: bacterial SSU rRNA
Rfam family: Bacterial small subunit ribosomal RNA
Source: RNAcentral